UUUGCAGUGUAUUGUAAGUUCCACAAAUAUUGAGCAGCAGAUGAUGCUAACCUGGCACCACCUGGGGAAUGAGUCCAGAAACAGCCAUGCCAGGGUGUUUGGACCUGCUCUGCCAUUUUUAUUAAACUGCACAAUAACUCCUGAGAUUGGCUGAGUGCCAAAAACCAUUCUGAGGUGUAAUUCACACAUAUGAACAAUGACCUUGCUGGAAGUUGUACUUCUAGUUCCUGCUUCUGGUUGACCACAAAAUUAGAGAUGGUUAGUCUGUGGAUGGCCAGCAUGGUGACUUAGUGGUUA
Thalassophryne amazonica is the source of this 297-nucleotide long non-coding RNA. RefSeq lists it as uncharacterized. The record is from RefSeq and is a predicted model, not a curated record. Lineage: Eukaryota; Metazoa; Chordata; Actinopteri; Batrachoidiformes; Batrachoididae. The transcript has 3 exons.